Molecule: long non-coding RNA, 320 nt
Organism: Manduca sexta (tobacco hornworm)
Lineage: Eukaryota; Metazoa; Arthropoda; Insecta; Lepidoptera; Sphingidae
Exons: 2
Source: RefSeq, a predicted model, not a curated record
UUACUACAAACAUUGAAGUGAUCUCUAAGGUGGUGGUGGGACAGUGAGAGACGUGCCGUGGAGCGCAGCGCAUGCGCUCUGCCACUUCCGAGAAGCUAUUGUAAAAUAUACCUACAAUAUGCUAUUACGUAUAGCUACUUAACAAUAAUAGUAAUGUGAUACUUGUUUAAUAAGUGCCAAGUAUUUAGUGUAUAAAAUAAGGCCAAAGAAACAAGUUAUUCUAGGUGAAAGGAGUUUUAUUAUACUUUUUGCAUGUUUAUAUACAAAGUGGGCAUCGGAUACCAUAUUUGCACGUAGAUAAAUACAACUAUAAAAAUGGA